Molecule: ribosomal RNA, 400 nt
Filed under: uncultured bacterium
Lineage: Bacteria
Description: bacterial SSU rRNA
Rfam family: Bacterial small subunit ribosomal RNA
Source: RNAcentral
AUUGAACGCUGGCGGCAUGCUUUACACAUGCAAGUCGAACGGCAGCACGGGUGCUUGCACCUGGUGGCGAGUGGCGAACGGGUGAGUAAUGCAUCGGAACGUGCCCAUGAGUGGGGGAUAGCCCGGCGAAAGCCGGAUUAAUACCGCAUACGCCCUUAGGGGGGAAAGCGGGGGAUCUUCGGACCUCGCGCUAUUGGAGCGGCCGAUGUCGGAUUAGCUAGUAGGUGAGGUAAAGGCUCACCUAGGCGACGAUCCGUAGCUGGUCUGAGAGGAUGAUCAGCCACACUGGGACUGAGACACGGCCCAGACUCCUACGGGAGGCAGCAGUGGGGAAUUUUGGACAAUGGGCGCAAGCCUGAUCCAGCCAUGCCGCGUGAGUGAAGAAGGCCUCGGUUGUAAG